Long non-coding RNA from Syzygium oleosum, 1261 nucleotides. RefSeq lists it as uncharacterized. The record is from RefSeq and is a predicted model, not a curated record. The transcript is spliced from 2 exons. NCBI's taxonomy places the organism in Eukaryota, Viridiplantae, Streptophyta, Magnoliopsida, Myrtales, Myrtaceae.
GGGAGGUCGACCGCCGGUGGUGGCGGCGGCGCCGUCGGCCUCCAUGAGGUGCAGUCCCCGGGGCCGGAGGGGGUCUUGCUGCUGACGUCAUCCAGAGUCCAGCUUACAUUCCUUCUGGGCCUGGAUCGGACCUGUCGCUGUCAGAUCCGUUGGGCACAGCCCAAUGGAUGGCUUCGGCUCUCUGCCUCUAGAUGAAUCCCCAAAACCUUUCCUCCUUAUAAUCCUCUCCAUCUCCAGCUCUUUCUUUCCACUUCCAACAUCUCUCUCUCUCUCUCUCUCUUUGUUGCAGAGUGGGAGAGGGAAGAAACGCUUCAGAAGAUGAGACGCAAGCGCGCGUAUCUUCAAGGUCAACUUGAAGAGGCCACCAUGGGUGGAAUCUUUGCUGGAUUUGAAGCAAAAGCAGCAACAUGGAGCUCUUUAGCAAUGGAUGCUUGUUCAUGCUAAUUUGGCGCUAUCCUAUCUGAGCUUUUUCCCCAACUACUCCUCUUUUUUCAUUUUUCCGUUUUCAAAUUCUCGCCCCCCGUCCCGUUCCACCCUUCUUGACCUUGUAAGACCUUUUCUUGACCUUGUAAGACCCCCCUCCGCUCCCGCCCCCUCUCUUCUCCUUCUGGUCCCGGGCUCUGAAUCGCGAGCGAGCGAUGUAGAGUGCCAUCGCCUGCCUUCCCCGUUCCCACCCAACUCAUCUUCUCCUUCCUUGUCUAUCCCUCCUGAGCUACUCCGUCCCGAAAUAAACAAAAAGAAGGCCGAACUCGCCCAUAGCUUUUCUCUCUUGAAACAAGCUUAUCCGCCCGGCAUGCAGACUUAAUUGCGACCCGGAGCCUUUCGUUAGCCUCUACAACAUGUGAAAAGAUUUAGGGAAGGAUGAUAAAAAGUGUGAGAUUAUUACUAGGGUCUUUUCUGGUUUUCUGUUCUUAGCUAGGAGUCGAGACUAAUUGCUGUUGCUGUUAUUCUUGAAAGGUUAUAUGGCGUGUAUGCCCUUUUCGUUGUUGUGUGAAGGGCAAUCGAUUGCAGUGUUUUUCUUUUUUCCUUUUUUGUACUUGUAUGGGAGGCAGAAACAUGCGGUUGCCAGGGGCAUCAGUUUCGUUGUUUUAUAUGUUGUUGGGAGAGCCUAAAAUUCAAAAAAAGAAGAAGGAAAAGAUAAAAACAAAAACAAAGAAAGAGUGCGUGCAGAUCAGAAUAAAUAGUAUUCUCUCAGAUCUCUCUCUGGUGAGAGCUUCUCUUCCUCGUGACCAUUCUUAUGUUAUGUACUGUAUUAUUGGAA